RNAcentral lists this ribosomal RNA (490 nucleotides) under uncultured bacterium. Its description in RNAcentral is "partial 16S ribosomal RNA". It matches the Rfam family "Bacterial small subunit ribosomal RNA", at positions 29 to 507 of the family's 1533-position model. The record is from RNAcentral.
GUGAACGCUGGCGGUAGGCUAACACAUGCAAGUCGAACGGCAGCACAGUAAGAGCUUGCUCUUACGGGUGGCGAGUGGCGGACGGGUGAGGAAUACAUCGGAAUCUACUUUUUCGUGGGGGAUAACGUAGGGAAACUUACGCUAAUACCGCAUACGACCUACGGGUGAAAGCCGGGGAUCUUCGGACCUUGCGCGAUUGAAUGAGCCGAUGUCGGAUUAGCUAGUUGGCGGGGUAAAGGCCCACCAAGGCGACGAUCCGUAGCUGGUCUGAGAGGAUGAUCAGCCACACUGGAACUGAGACACGGUCCAGACUCCUACGGGAGGCAGCAGUGGGGAAUAUUGGACAAUGGGCGCAAGCCUGAUCCAGCCAUACCGCGUGGGUGAAGAAGGCCUUCGGGUUGUAAAGCCCUUUUGUUGGGAAAGAAAAGCAGCAGGUUAAUACCCCGCUGUUCUGACGGUACCCAAAGAAUAAGCACCGGCUAACUUCGUG